RNAcentral lists this ribosomal RNA (822 nucleotides) under Triticum aestivum (bread wheat). Its description in RNAcentral is "partial small subunit ribosomal RNA". Lineage: Eukaryota; Viridiplantae; Streptophyta; Magnoliopsida; Poales; Poaceae. The record is from RNAcentral.
AUGAAUAUUGCCCUCCUCUCCCGAUGGCUGUGGCGCAUCUCGCAGGGCCACGGGGGCCUCUGGCUGGACAUUAUCCGGAAUAAAUACCUGCGCGGCCAACCCCUUGCCUUCUGCCAGAAGUCGGGUGGCUCUCAGUUCUGGCAGUCCCUUGUCCAGCUCCUCCCUGUGCUCCGCAUUGGUACCUCUAUCUCGGUAGGAUCUGGCCGUUCGACGUUAUUCUGGUAUGACCGUUGGGCCGGUGACGCCCCCUUUGCGGCUCGCUUCCCCAUUCUCUUUGCUAUCUCUGUCGCCCCCAUGAUCUCUGUUGAUAGGGCCCUAUUUGACUUAGGGCGCCUCGCUUUCCGUCGGCCAUUUGGGCCUGCGGAAUCCGCCGCCUGGCGUGAGCUUCUUGAGUGCGUCGCUCUUCAUGAGCCGCUGGUUGACGGCGUCCAAGACCGUGUUCGAUGGCAUUUGGAGCCGUCUGGCCAGUUCUCUACCAAAUCGCUCUAUGCGUCCAUUGCCCCCUCCGCCGCCCCUCCCCCCCUCUCAAUGGUUUGGUCCGUCCGCCUCCCUCUGAAGAUCCGUAUCUUCAUGUGGCAGUGGAUCCGGGGACGGAUCCCCUCCGGUGUGGAGGUCCGCAAGCGUAAUGGCCCGGGUUCUGGUCUCUGCCCCCUCUGUGCCGUCCCCGAGGACUCUAACCACAUCUUCUUCGCUUGCACCUCUGCCCAGUUCCUCUGGAGCUGUUUUCGCGAGCUUGUCGGCGGAAAUUGGACUCACACCAACUUCCCCGACCUUUUUGCUGAACUCCAAGCGUCCCCCCCCCCCGUCCUCCCGCCACAUUAG